AAGUCGAACGAAGGCUUCGGCCUUAGUGGCGCACGGGUGAGUAACACGUGGGAACCUGCCUUUCGGUUCGGAAUAACGUCUGGAAACGGACGCUAACACCGGAUGCGUCCUUCGGGAGAAAGUUUACGCCGAGAGAGGGGCCCGCGUCGGAUUAGGUAGUUGGUGUGGUAACGGCGCACCAAGCCGACGAUCCGUAGCUGGUCUGAGAGGAUGAUCAGCCACACUGGGACUGAGACACGGCCCAGACUCCUACGGGAGGCAGCAGUGGGGAAUAUUGGACAAUGGGCGCAAGCCUGAUCCAGCAAUGCCGCGUGAGUGAUGAAGGCCUUAGGGUUGUAAAGCUCUUUCGCACGCGACGAUGAUGACGGUAGCGUGAGAAGAAGCCCCGGCUAACUUCGUGCCAGCAGCCGCGGUAAUACGAAGGGGGCUAGCGUUGUUCGGAAUUACUGGGCGUAAAGGGCGCGUAGGCGGCCUGUUUAGUCAGAAGUGAAAGCCCCGGGCUCAACCUGGGAAUAGCUUUUGAUACUGGCAGGCUUGAGUUCCGGAGAGGAUGGUGGAAUUCCCAGUGUAGAGGUGAAAUUCGUAGAUAUUGGGAAGAACACCGGUGGCGAAGGCG
This 616-nucleotide ribosomal RNA is filed under the name Azospirillum sp. ILI-S4-I7. RNAcentral's name for it is "bacterial SSU rRNA". It matches the Rfam family "Bacterial small subunit ribosomal RNA", at positions 59 to 723 of the family's 1533-position model. Lineage: Bacteria; Pseudomonadati; Pseudomonadota; Alphaproteobacteria; Rhodospirillales; Azospirillaceae. The record is from RNAcentral.